RNAcentral lists this ribosomal RNA (433 nucleotides) under uncultured bacterium. RNAcentral describes it as "partial 16S ribosomal RNA". It matches the Rfam family "Bacterial small subunit ribosomal RNA", at positions 29 to 507 of the family's 1533-position model. The record is from RNAcentral.
AACGAGCGCUGGCGGCAUGCCUAACACAUGCAAGUCGAACGAGACCUUCGGGUCUAGUGGCGCACGGGUGCGUAACGCGUGGGAACCUGCCCUUAGGUUCGGAAUAACUCCCCGAAAGGGGUGCUAAUACCGGAUAAUGUCUUCGGACCAAAGAUUUAUCGCCUUUGGAUGGGCCCGCGUUGGUUUAGCUAGUUGGUAGGGUAAAAGCCUACCAAGGCGACGAUCCAUAGCUGGUCUGAGAGGAUGAUCAGCCACACUGGGACUGAGACACGGCCCAGACUCCUACGGGAGGCAGCAGUGGGGAAUAUUGGACAAUGGGCGAAAGCCUGAUCCAGCAAUGCCGCGUGAGUGAUGAAGGCCUUAGGGUUGUAAAGCUCUUUUACCCGGGAUGAUAAUGACAGUACCGGGAGAAUAAGCUCCGGCUAACUCCGUG